RNAcentral lists this ribosomal RNA (494 nucleotides) under uncultured bacterium. RNAcentral's name for it is "partial 16S ribosomal RNA". It matches the Rfam family "Bacterial small subunit ribosomal RNA", at positions 28 to 507 of the family's 1533-position model. The record is from RNAcentral.
GACGAACGCUGGCGGCGUGCUUAACACAUGCAAGUCGAACGGUGAAGCGCCUUCCUUUUUGGUGGGUGUGGAUGAGUGGCGAACGGGUGAGUAACACGUGAGUAACCUGCCCCCUUCUUCUGGAUAACCGCAUGAAAGUGUGGCUAAUACGGGAUAUUCUGUGCCUGUCGCUUGAUGGGUCUGGGAAAGUUAUUGUUUCGGUGGGGGAUGGGUCCGCGCCUCAUCAGCUUGUUGGGGGGGUGAUGGCCUACCAAGGCGGUGACGGGUAGCCGGCCUGGGGGGGUGGACGGUCACACUGGGGCGGAGCGACGGCCCAGACUCCUACGGGAGGCAGCAGUGGGGAAUAUUGCACAAUGGGCGCAAGCCUGAUGCAGCGACGCCGCGUGAGGGAUGGAGGCCGUCGGGUUGUGAACCUCUUUCGCCAGUGAAGCAGGCCUGCCUCGUUUGUGGGUGGGUUGACGGUAGCUGGAUAAGAAGCGCCGGCUAACUACGUG